This 492-nucleotide ribosomal RNA is filed under the name uncultured bacterium. Its description in RNAcentral is "partial 16S ribosomal RNA". It matches the Rfam family "Bacterial small subunit ribosomal RNA", at positions 30 to 507 of the family's 1533-position model. The record is from RNAcentral.
AUUGAACGCUGGCGGUAGGCCUAACACAUGCAAGUCGAACGGCAGCACAGUAAGAGUUUGCUCUUACCGGUGGCGAGUGGCGGGCGGGUGAGGUAUACAUCGGACUCUACUUUGUCGUGGGGGAUAACGUAGGGAAACUUACGAUAAUACCGCAUACGACCUACGGGAGAAAGCAGGGGAUCUUCGCACCUUGCGCGAUUGUAUGAGCCGAUGUCGGAUUAGCUAGUUGGCGGGGUAAAGGCUCACCAAGGCGACGAUCCGUAGCUGGUCUGAGAGGAUGAUCAGCCACACUGGAACUGAGACACGGUCCAGACUCCUACGGGAGGCAGCAGUGGGGAAUAUUGGACAAUGGGCGCAAGCCUGAUGCAGCCAUACCGCGUGUGUGAAGAAGGCCUUCGGGUUGUAAAGCCCUUUUGUUGGGAAAGAAAAGCAGCAGGUUAAUACCCCGCUGUUCUGACGGUACCCAAAGAAUAAGCACCGGCUAACUUCGCG